AGUGAAUAGAUACCCAGGUAGUCCACGCCGUAAACGAUGGAUACUAGCUGUUCGGAGCAAAUCUGAGUGGCUAAAGCGAAAGUGAUAAGUAUCCCACCUGGGGAGUACGCACGCAAGUGUGAAACUCAAAGGAAUGACGGGGGCCCGCACAAGCGGUGGAGCAUGUGGUUUAAUUCGAUGAUACGCGAGGAACCUUACCAGGGCUUAAAUGUAGAUUGACAGGACUGGAAACAGUUUUUCUUCGGACAAUUUACAAGGUGCUGCAUGGUUGUCGUCAGCUCGUGCCGUGAGGUGUCAGGUUAAGUCCUAUAACGAGCGCAACCCCUGUCGUUAGUUGCCAGCGAGUCAUGUCGGGAACUCUAACGAGACUGCCAGUGUAAACUGUGAGGAAGGUGGGGAUGACGUCAAAUCAUCACGGCCCUUACGUCCUGGGCCACACACGUGCUACAAUGGUAGGUACAGAGAGCAGCCACUGCGCGAGCAGGAGCGAAUCUACAAAACCUAUCUCAGUUCGGAUCGGA
RNAcentral lists this ribosomal RNA (521 nucleotides) under uncultured bacterium. RNAcentral describes it as "bacterial SSU rRNA". It matches the Rfam family "Bacterial small subunit ribosomal RNA", at positions 773 to 1302 of the family's 1533-position model. The record is from RNAcentral.